Molecule: long non-coding RNA, 7273 nt
Filed under: Nicotiana tabacum (common tobacco)
Lineage: Eukaryota; Viridiplantae; Streptophyta; Magnoliopsida; Solanales; Solanaceae
Description: long non-coding RNA (NTAB_LNC001747)
Source: RNAcentral
UCACUUGAAUUGCAUGAAUACCCAUUUGGAUUUGAGAAAGCCAAAUUGGACAAAAUCACUCAAACUACCGAGAGGUAUAGAGUAAUGAUGUUAUAGGAUUGCGUACAAGACUCCAAUAGGUAUGUCUCCGUACCGGUUGGUCUUUGGGAAAGCAUGCCAUCUUCCGGUUGAGUUAGAGCACAAGGUCAUAUGGGCACUGAAGAAAUUAAACCUUGAAUGGGAUAGAGCUGCAAAUCUUCGGGUAGAGCAACUAAAUGAACUUGAUGAGUUCCGCUUUCAUGCUUAUUCCAGCUCAUCCCUGUAUAAGGACAAAAUGAAAUUUAUUUAAUUUCAGAGUCGCCACUUAGAAUAAUUUAUGGUUUCCCAAGUCAUCGGCUUAUUUUAAAUCCCAGAUCGAGGAAAUUGACUCUAUUUUUUGGUCCGCAAACACAAAAGACCGGGUAAGGAAUUUCGUUAACUUGGGAGAAGGUGUUAGGCACUCCCGAAUUCCGUAAUUUUAGCACGGUCGCUCAACUAUUAAUAAUUGGCUUAAUUAUCUGAUUUAUUACAUGUUUAGAACCAAUUGUGCAUUUUAUUCCUUUUACCGCCUUUAAUUAAUUAUUUAACCACUUUUAGGAUUUAUGAAAUUUAUUUGAACGAGUCGCGAUAGCACACUCUCGUCUAUUUUUGUACACAUUGCGGAUCGCGUCACAUGAAAUGCACCCGCGAAUUACAAGAUGUUUAUUUUUAUCAUUGCUUGAAGUUAUGGUCGGGUCACAUGAAAUGUACACCAGAAUUUGAAUUUAUGUAUCAUGACCAUGCCGCGACAACUGUACCGUAGUUAUGAUGAUUUAUUAUUAAUUGCACCUAAAACAAGUUACGAUGCUUAUGAAUUGUUUAUUUGCUUGAUCACUUCAGCUCUUCCAAUGUACUUCCCUUUGACGAAAUCUUAUGGCAAAGUCACACACUUUUCACCCAAAACAUUCUGCGAUUCUUUCUUAUAAGCACUGUAUCCAAGAAGUUGCACCUUUUAAUCAUGAGAUUAAGAUGUUAAAUGCCAUUACAGAAAGCUACCCCUUUCAAAUUGAACUAUUAUCAUACUUAAAAUUUAUUUUUUUUCAACUAUCUAUCAAAGAAUCUAAAUCAACAGCACCAAAAAUGAUUACUUAAAGAGACACAAUCUUUUAGUUUCCCUUUAUCGAAAUUCAUCUCUACAACUUAAUUCACACAAGGGACGAAAGGAACAGAGUAUACGAAAACAUAUAUGAGUCAUUUAAGACAUAAACAUCUUUAAAAUAUCACUGUGUCAUUCCUAAACACUGUUACUACACAAAAACUUUGCAAAAUUCAUUUGAGCUAAUUAAAAUAAUUUGAGAGGUGAAUAUGUAUGGUAAAAAGCAAAGAGAAACAAUCCUACUGCCAAAUAAGUUACCUACUCUAGCAUUAGAACAUCUAAUCCCAGAAACAAAGAAGUCACGACAAAUAAGAAAAGAAAGAGCCUUAGCAGAAUGGUUCUUCUUCAAAAUCUAUCUUCAUGUGAAGAAUGUAGAAGGCUAAGUUCACUGUCCCAAGCCUCAUAGAGAGGACAGAAAUACCCAUGUAUCAUAUAACUUCAUUUCAUCAAAAUUUACUACACAAAAUUUGAAAAGAAAGAUAAGAGUAAGAAUAUAACCUUAAAAGAAUGAAUUUGAACCUUGGUUGUUUGACAGCUUUAAGACCCAAGCUUUAAGACCCAAAAACGAAGAGGACUGCGACGGAGCUUCGAACCUCGACUGAAACUCUUGUGUUUUGGUGUUCGGAGCUGCUGUUUCGGGUUAUUUUUGGCAGCAUUUUUUGCUAUUUUGCAGCUGAUUUUCGCGGCUCCUCUUGGCUGUUUUCGCAGCUGGUUUACUGCAAUUUUGGGGUGAGAUUUGAGCUGAAAUUUGUGAUGGUUUGUUGCUGAUUUCGUAGCUGUUUCGAGGGGCGAACUAGCAGUGCUUUUGCUUUUUUUGGGUGUUGUUGUGGCUGCAUUUCUGAGACUGUUUUUCAGCUACAUUUGGGGUCAAGGCAAAAUUAUUUUCAUGGAAUUUUCUAGCUUGGUUUUACUGGGUUUUCAAAUAGACAACUACGAUGAAAAAUGGACGAAGAAUGUGGAGCUAGAGUGGCGUUAACGGAAGGGCUGCUGCAUUUUCUUGGUUCUUAGAGGAAGGAUACGCAGCUUUUUCUCUAAGGCUCUAGGGUUCCUCCCUUGCUCUAAAUCAGAUGUAAUGAUUUUACAGGGUUUUAAUUAAUUGGGCUGGGUAAAUUCUUUCUAGGCAUUCCUACAUGACUCUCUCAUUUUUUAUUUUCUCUGCGCUUACCAUCGCCUUACGGUGCACAUGAGGGUUUUCACCAACAAGACUCUCAUUUCAUUUCCCUUAUUUUGGUCGCAUCAGAUCCUGUGACUGUAUCUUCCAAUUCUUGAACAAUCUCAUUGAUUGAUCAGAAGGACUUUGAAAAAAAGGGUUUGGGGUAAAAGAAAUUUGGAUUGAAUUACAACUUUGGAACCUUUCAGGCAAAACCAUCGCCGAACAAUUAUAACUUCUGCCCCAGUUUCAACUUUUGGGGGAAUUUGGAUUUUUGUUUUGGUAUGACUGAACCCCAGAGAGAAGCAGCCUACGUAUCCUUUCGGAAUCAAGUCGACCGUAGUUUAGGGAACUUUGUUUUGAUUUUCUUUUGUUCUCUUUCUUUUUUCUUUCCUUUUUCCUCUCGUUUUUCGUUUUUUUUUCUAUUUCUUUUUCUUUUUGUCUUUUUUUUCCUUUUUUUUUUGUAUCUUUCUUUUUCUUCUCUUUUGUUUCAUUUUUUUCAUUCAUUCAUUUUCAAUAAUAACUUUCAGGUUCCAAUGAGGGUAAUCAAAGAAUGGGAGCCAGCUCAAAAGGGUUAAGUGUUUGGAUAGUGCGAAAGAAAGUCUUCUUCAUCCCAACCGCAGAACAUUAAUGCUAUAUAGAGGAUCCAACAUAGUACCUUUUGACUGCUUUGCAUUGACAAUUAUUUCUGGGACAUUUCCUUCGAUGUGUCCCAAGUACAACGCACUCUUUUGACAGUACUCUUGUUGCAAUAUAUGGACCUUUCCAAUCUGGAACCAAUUUUCUUUAGCUAUUCCGAGUCUUUGCUUUAUUUCCUUAAACUUAUCUUCAUUGCAUUCCGAUUCUUGACUCAAUAUUUCGAAGUCUAACAACGUUUUAGGAUCGGGGCAUGAAGUCCGCAAGCAUGUCAUGUUAUUGAAAUCUGCAUUUAACAGAACUAAAAAGAGAAUAAGAAAGGUGAAAUUAAGAAAAGAGACAUUCCUGGACAAUGAAAUAUUGAUUUCAUUUGAUUUUUAGUUUUUUUUUUGAAUUUCAAAGAUAGAAGGGUUUACAUCAGAAAGUAAGACAAUAACAUAGAACAUACGGAUCACACGCUGAGAUAAUCCGGACGCCGAAAGGAUAGCAAGAUUGGCUACCGAGAUUUCCAUCUAAUAGGGAACUUUCAGGCUUGCCGACCGUUUUUGGCCUUUCUUCUGUCUCGGCAACGGCUGCAAUGGCCUUCAGUGCCGGAUCGAAUUCCUCAGUGUAAGUAGACAACGAAUUGUUCGUCACAUCAGGAGCCUCUUCAUCCCGAAGAACGAUUCUUUCAGCUUCGAUCAAAUCUUCAAUUACCCUUUUGAGGGUCCAACAGUCAUCUGUAUUGUGUCCCACUGCUCCAGAGUGGUAUUAAAAUCUAGCAUCAGCUUGGUGCUAGGGGGACUCGAGGUUUGGCCGAUUUGGGGCCACUGGCUGCAGCAGACCUUGCCUGACUAGCUUUUGGAAUAGGCCCGAGUAUGAUUCACCAAUAGGGGUGAACUGAUUCCUUCUGAAAGACUCUCUUAGGCAAGGAUUGUACUUGGUAAGGAUGGACAUUUCAAGGGGGUGGAGCUCGGUUUUAUGUAUAAUGUUGUGGUCGCGUGCAAGGUUGCACGUUCAUCACCGCAUACCAACAAAACAAACUACCUGAACAGAACUUGGCUAAUUUUCUCACACCACAACCUUGCUAGUUUUGAAGAAUUUAAUAUAUAGGAAAUUGCAUGUUGGGAUGCAAUGCACCUAAUAGUUAAAAGCUUCUAUCNNNNNNNNNNNNNNNNNNNNGAUAUUUUUUCUGAAUGAAAGACUUCUAAAAGAAGGACUUUUUUGGAUGUUGCCUCUUAAUUUUCGAAAAAGGGACUUUUGAAGAAAAAUAUUUUGGAUUUCUUAUUUUUUUUUUAUUUUUAAAUUUACAAAAGUACUUCUAAAGAAAGCGAAAAUAUUUUUGGACUUCAAUUUUUUCAAUUUUUUUGACAUUUACGAAAGAAAGACUUUUAAACAAGGAAAAUAAUUUUUUUAAAUUCUUUUUUUUUGAAAUUUUGGGAAAAUACUUCAAAAUAAAGGAAACUCGUAUUUUGGAUUUUGAUUUUUUAUUGAUUUUUCUUUUUAUUUCUUUUUUCAUAUGAAAGACUUCAGAAAGAAGGAAACUAUUUUUUGAGUUUAAUUUUUUUGUUUUGAAAUUUCUAAGGAAAUGCUUCUAAGAAAGAAAUUAAAAGAAUUUUUUUUGGAUUUUUUUAAAAAUUGGGGCCGGAACCGAUGAGGUUUGCCUACGUAUUUCACAUCCGAUGAAAAUCAGACCCGCGUAGUUCGGUCAGUUUUGACGGAACAGGGAAACAUGACACUUGAAUAUUUUGGGCUCAUUCUGAAAUGACUUUUCUUUUUUUAUCUUUUUUUCGGCAGAGUUUCGGAAUUUCAAAUACAUAUAUCUCAUUCUUGUUCUUUUUCCCCCUAUUUUAUAAGCCAACAUGCAAGCCAAAACAAAUAGAUGCGCAAGUAGCAUGUAAGAUGCAUCAGGAUGGUCUUUUAAUUUGGGUACACCUGUCCUAGACGGACCCAACCCCUGUAUUGAGUCUCCAAAGUCAAAUGCACGUAAACAAACGUUUCUACUAGGGAUCCGACAUGAGGCUAUGUUAUUCUAGGUUUAAAACCUGGGUGUAUUGUUCUAAACCUAGCUUACCCGAGCAGACAACUCGAGCCGAGAAGGGAAGCGUACCGGGAAUACAAAAGCUUCACCGGCUUUGCAACUUAUCCGAACCUCGUUCUAAAAUUAGGAUAUGACUCUAACAGAAAAGAAGCCACGUGAAGCGCACACUCUCCGGAAGAUUUAAAAGACUCAGAAAGAAGAGGGUUUCGUAACAGUUUAUAUACAGUUCAGGCAAUAUCAAAGCGACAUUUAUCACAUUAGGUUCAAACAUGUAAAAAUCAGAUAAUAAAUAAAAAUCAAGUAUAACAAUUAUUCUAAGCUCGAAUUUUUAAACCCUGAAUCAGAGAUUCUGGUUCAAUAUCCAGCAGAGUCGCUAGAGCUGUCACACCUCCUAUUAAAGUGACAUUAAUCGAAAUGGGAUUAUUUAUUUAAUUUCAAAGUCGCCACUUGGAAUAAUUUAUGGUAUCCCAACUCACCAGCUUAUUUUAAAUUCCAAAUCGAGGAAAUUAACUCUAUUUUUUGGUCCGCGAACACAGAAAACCGGGUAAAGAAUUCCAUUAACCCGGGAGAAGGUGUUAGGCACUCCCGAGUUUCGUGGUUUUAGCACGGUCGCCCAACUAUUAAUAAUUGGCCUAAUUAUCUGAUUUAUUACAUGUUUAGAAUCUAUUGUGCAUUUUAUUCCUUUUACCGCUUUUAAUUAAUUAUUUAACAACUUUUAGGAUUUAUAAAAUUUAUUUGAACGAGUCGCGAUAGCAUGCGCUCGUCUGGUUUUGUACACAUUGCGAAUCGCGUCACAUGAAAUGCACCCGCGGUUUACAACAUGUUUAUUUUUAUCAUUGUUCGAAGUUAUGGCCGGGUAAUAUGAAAUACACACCCGAAUUGAAUUUAUGUAUCAUGACUAUGCCACGAGAACCGUACCCAUAAUCACAAUAAUUUAUUAUUAAUCGCUCCUAAAACAAAUGCUUAUGAAUUGUUUAUUUGUUUGAUCACUUCAGCUCUUCCAAUGUACUUUCGUUUGACGAAAACUUAUGGCAAAGUCACACUUUUCGCCCAAAACAUUCUGCAAUUCUUUCUUACAAGCAUUGUAUCCGAGAAGUUGCACCUUUUGGCCAUGAUUAAGAUGCUAAAUGCCAUUACAGAAAGCUACCCCCUUCAAAUUGAACUAUUAUCAUACUUAAAAUUUAAUUUUUUCAGCUAUCUAUCAAAGAAUCCAAAUCAACGGCACCCAAAAUGAUUACUUAAAGUGACACAAUCUUUUAUUUUCCCUUUAUCGAAAUUUAUCUCUACAACUUAAUUUACACAAGGGACGAAAGGAACAAAGUAUACUAAAACAUAUAUUAGUCAUUUAAGACAUAAGCAUCUUUAAAAUAUCACUGUGUCAUUCCUAAACACUGUUACUACAUAAAAACUUUGCAAAAUUCAUUUGAGCUAAUUAAAAUAAUUUGAGAGGUGAAUAUGUAUGAAGUUAAAAAGCAAAGAGAAACAAUCCUUCUGCCAAAUAAGUUACCUACUCUAGCAUUAGAACAUCUAAUCCCAGAAACAAAGAAGUCACGAUAAAUAAGAAUAAAAAGAGACUUAGCAGAAUAGUUCUUUUUCAAAAUCUAUGUUCAUGUAAAGAAUGUAGAAGGCUAUGUUCACUAUCCCAAGCCUCAUAGAGAGGACAGAAACACCCAUCUACCAUAUACACCCAUCUACACAAAAUUUGAAAAGAAAGACGUUUUAUCUAACCUUAAAAGAAUGAAUUUGAACCUUGGUUGUUUGACAGCUUUAAGACCCAAAAAUGAACAGGACCACGACGGAGCUUCGAACCUCAACUGAAACUCUUGUGUUUUAGUGAUUGGAGCUGCUGUUUCGGGUUAUUUUUGGCAGCAUUUUUUGCUAAUUUUCAGCUGAUUUUCGCUGCUCCUCUUGGCUGUUUUCGCAGCUAGUUUGCUACAAUUUUGGGGUGAGAUUUGAGCUGAAAUUUUUGAUGGUUUAUUGCUGAUUUCAUAGCUGUUUCGAGGGGCGAACUAGCAGCGUUUUUGUUUGUUUUUGAGUGUUGUUGUGACUGCGUUUUUGAGACUGUAUUUCAGCUACAUUUGGGGUCAAGGCAAAAGUAUUUUCAUGGAGUUUUCUAACUUGGUUUUAUUGGGUUUUCAAAUAGACAACUACGAUGAAAAAUGGACGAAGAAUGUGGAGCUAGAGUGGCGUUAACGGAAGGGCUACUGCAUUUUCUUGGUUCUUAGAGGAAGGAUACGCAGCUUUUUCUCUAAGGCUCUAGGGUUCCUCCCUUGCUCUAAAUCAGAUGUAAUAGUUUUAUAGGGUUUUAAUUAAU